GAGAAUCUGCCUUGGGGUCGGGGACAACCACUGGAAACGGUGGCUAAUACCGGAUAAGCCUUUGGGUAAAAGAUUUAUUGCCCCAAGAGGAGCUCGCGUCUGAUUAGCUAGUUGGUGAGGUAAAAGCUCACCAAGGCAGCGAUCAGUAGCUGGUCUGAGAGGACGAUCAGCCACACUGGGACUGAGACACGGCCCAGACUCCUACGGGAGGCAGCAGUGGGGAAUUUUCCGCAAUGGGCGAAAGCCUGACGGAGCAAGACCGCGUGAGGGAGGAAGGCUCUUGGGUUGUAAACCUCUUCUCUCAGGGAAGAAGCUCUGACGGUACCUGAGGAAUCAGCCUCGGCUAACUCCGUGCCAGCAGCCGCGGUAAUACGGAGGAGGCAAGCGUUAUCCGGAAUUAUUGGGCGUAAAGCGUCCGCAGGUGGCGAUUCAAGUCUGCUGUCAAAGCACGGGGCUUAACUCCGUUAAGGCAGUGGAAACUGAAUAGCUAGAGUGCCGUAGGGGUAGAGGGAAUUCCCGGUGUAGCGGUGAAAUGCGUAGAGAUCGGGAAGAACAUCGGUGGCGAAAGCGCUCUACUGGACGGCAACUGACACUCAGGGACGAAAGCUAGGGGAGCGAAUGGGACUAGAUACCCCAGUAGUCCUAGCUGUAAACGAUGGAUACUAGGUGUAGCUUGUAUCGACCCGAGCUGUGCCGAAGCUAACGCGUUAAGUAUCCCGCCUGGGGAGUACGCACGCAAGUGUGAAACUCAAAGGAAUUGACGGGGGCCCGCACAAGCGGUGGAGUAUGUGGUUUAAUUCGAUGCAACGCGAAGAACCUUACCAGGGCUUGACAUGUCCGGAAUCCCGGUGAAAGCUGGGAGUGCCUUCGGGAGCCGGAACACAGGUGGUGCCUGGCUGUCGUCAGCUCGUGUCGUGAGAUGUUGGGUUAAGUCCCGCAACGAGCGCAACCCUGAUGUUUAGUUGCCAGCAUUAAGUUGAACACUCUAGAGAGACCACCGGUGACAAACCGGAGGAAGGUGGG
This 1023-nucleotide ribosomal RNA is filed under the name uncultured organism. RNAcentral's name for it is "bacterial SSU rRNA". It matches the Rfam family "Bacterial small subunit ribosomal RNA", at positions 119 to 1177 of the family's 1533-position model. The record is from RNAcentral.